GCGAGAGUGGCGAAACUGGCAGACGCGCAGGACUUAGGAUCCUGUGCCCUAAUACGGCGUGUGGGUUCAAGUCCCACCUUUCGCA
Molecule: transfer RNA, 85 nt
Filed under: bacterium
Lineage: Bacteria
Description: tRNA-Leu
Rfam family: tRNA
About the family: Transfer RNA (tRNA) molecules are approximately 80 nucleotides in length. Their secondary structure includes four short double-helical elements and three loops (D, anti-codon, and T loops). Further hydrogen bonds mediate the characteristic L-shaped molecular structure. tRNAs have two regions of fundamental functional importance: the anti-codon, which is responsible for specific mRNA codon recognition, and the 3' end, to which the tRNAs corresponding amino acid is attached (by aminoacyl-tRNA synthetases). tRNAs cope with the degeneracy of the genetic code in two manners: having more than one tRNA (with a specific anti-codon) for a particular amino acid; and 'wobble' base-pairing, i.e. permitting non-standard base-pairing at the 3rd anti-codon position.
Source: RNAcentral